This 21-nucleotide microRNA is filed under the name Corchorus olitorius. RNAcentral describes it as "hsa-miR-1234-". Lineage: Eukaryota; Viridiplantae; Streptophyta; Magnoliopsida; Malvales; Malvaceae. The record is from RNAcentral.
CGGGGGGGGGGGGGGGGUCCG